This is an RNA transcript of Prosopis cineraria, 4498 nucleotides long. RefSeq lists it as uncharacterized. Lineage: Eukaryota; Viridiplantae; Streptophyta; Magnoliopsida; Fabales; Fabaceae. The record is from RefSeq and is a predicted model, not a curated record. The transcript is spliced from 3 exons.
AAUCGCAAGUGCCAUGUUCUCUCUGGGCUAACAACAAAAUACGUUAUCCUUUGCUGCGUAUUUAACACGUAACUUACAGAGAAAACUGAACCCUCGGCUAAAUGUUCGCACUUUUACUUGGCUGGGUUAAGUUGAGGUCCUGGGGUCUUGAGUUCGGUGGUUCCGAGAAGAAUAGAAAUUGAAAUCAGUGUUGGAAGUGAUAUACGAAACCGUGGUUUUACCCUGAUAGAGCUUCUUCUUGCGUCCUAUUUCUGUUUCUGACGCCUAAAACUUUCUUCAAUAAUGGCGAACGAGCAGCAGUUAUUUCGACCUUGGUUCCUUGACCAAGUACCUUUUGUGGUGGUUGUCUUAAUAGCAGCUCAUGUCCUCGCUUUGGUAUACUGGAUUUACAGAUUAGCAACUGAGAGACAACCCCAGAGGAGAAAGGCUCACUAGGAACAGAUUUACCUGUUGAACAUUGAAGCCGAACUGUCGAAGGUUGGUGAACGAUAAUUGAUCUGCCGGAAAUCCUGAUCAGUUAUCAAGCUAUGAUCGUUGUUACUGUUAUCAAUAGAUAGCGAAACUACCCUUGAUUCUGUUGUCAUUGAUCAAAGCACUUAUAACUUGAAAUGCUGGAAUUGGACUGGUUUGAAUUUUAAAUCAAUACUGACGAGUUUACGUGUUGUUUUCAUCAAGUGAUUAUGCGCCUCAUAUCAUUGGGAUUUUGAUUAAUGGUUCAUGCGGAUUGGAAUUGAGAAGUUCAUUGAUUUCAACUUAGUUAUCUUAAGCUUAUGACUAGAGUUAUCUGCUAAAUUUUAACGAAUAUAAUACUCUGCAAAGGUUUAUUUCUCUGUCAUUAUAAUUUUACUAAUGCCAUUCAGUAAUUGCUGAUUCAUAGGGACGUCGUGUGAAAUUGCUUGGAAUUAUUUUUUGUUGUCUGUAUAGUCAUGUUGGACCAAUUGGAAUUUGAUUAUUCUGACGUUAGAAUCCAUCUUUUGCCUAUGUGCCUAAUGGUUUUAGUUUUCUCUGGAAUCUAAUGAUACAGCUUUAAAGUCAUUGAGAUCGUAAGUUCAUAACUCUUCUCUCUUAUAUAUGUUAUAUUGGGCUGUCACUGUCAGACAUAAAGAUGAAUGUGUCCAUGUGAAAUGAUAUGAAACAUGCAUGAGUGAACAGGAAAUCCUAAAGCAAUAGGUAGGGUGAAAGAUAUAAACAAAUUUGAAAUAUGAUUCAAUAUUACUGAAUACUCUUUACAGUAAGUUAAAUUCUUAACUUGGUUGUGUAUUUUGCCCAAAGGAAACAGUUUCCUUGGAAAAAUAGGUUAGCUGCAAUUGAAUUCAUUUUUUGUGCUGCCUCAUUGCUGUUAUGUUACUUUUUAUCUUUAUUUGCUGUGAACCUGGGAAGAUUGCCACCUCCUUCCGAAAUAUAGGUGUUUAUAAGUUAACGUGGACUGGAAUUCUCUAAAUUUCAUUUGAAACCCAGUAAAGUUCAAUAAGUCUCCACCCUUCAAUUCAACAAUUUUUUUCCGAGUGAAUGUUGCGAUGUGUCUUCAUAUCAGGUUGGCCAAAGUCUCAGUUUUAUUUAUCUUCAGUUUUACUUCUUUACACAGUUGCUGCAGUGACGGAGUGCUCUUAUCAAAUAUUAUGCAAAGGCAGUGAGGAAAAGCUACUGGUUGUAAGAUAGAAACCAACUCAGUAUACGUUAAUAUAUAUUCCACCGCAUUGUUCAGUUUUGCCAUUUUUAUUAUCCAAUUAUCUUCCGUGCUAGCUUUUAAAAAGCUUCUCCUUUAUCACUCUGAACUCUUACCAUCAUUCAUGAUCUGCAGGCUUUGCCUCACUCUCUGUUUCUUUCAUGAUCCAUUGAAACCAAUUGAACUUUUGAGUUCCAGGGCUUUGAUGGUUUUUUUUUCCUUGUGCAGUCCUCUCUUUGGAUUUUUAUUUUUAUGCUCUUCGAGAUCCUCUCCACGUCAUUUGUUUUUUAUGGUGGCAAUGGAAGCAAAAUCCUCUUUUUGAGGAUGCACGCAAAUAACCGUUGAAUGUGAGCUAAGCAAAGAAUAAACAUGAAUAUAAAAAAGGUAUUUGAUGAUAGCAGCGACACGGUAAACAAAAUCAAAGAUGAAUAAAUGGCGAGUUUUUGUCAAACCUUGUAUGCUUAUGUGGAAUAACAUUGACUGUGGAUGAAAGUUUGUUGAUGAACGGUGAAGAUUCAGAAAAUUUACUGGGUAAAUUUCCUACGAAAUUUAGAGAAUCUCUAUCCAAUACGCACGCACGCACGCACACAAACUUGAAUGCAGAUGGAAUUUUCUCUUAUAUAUUGCCUUCUGCUAAUAAUUGAUAGGGAAUGUGAUAUUAUAAUAUUGUUCACUUAUUUCCUCAUAUCAAUUGUUAUGCUAAUUGGAUUUAUUGUUGUUAAUGCAUGGUAUUGUUUUUUUCCCCCAAUGAAGUAAACGUUAAAUUAACCCAAAAAAAUUAGUUAUCAGCUGACAUGUUCCUUUCACCAUCAACCACCUUCCAACAACAAGGUGGGAAUUUAUCAAAGUUAUUAAAACUCACUACGCUAUCCUUAGUAAAUCUAGCCAAAGAAAGUGCACAAUAAUUAGCUUCCCUAUAUGUAAGAUUCACUGGUAUUGUCUUUUUUUUUUUUUUAAGUUGCUUGUUCAAGGUCAGAUUCGUCUCUUUGCUGUUGCAAUAUUUUCCUGCAGACUGAUUAUAAAAUGAAAACAAAAGGUUGUAAGAUAUUCACAAGUGACUAAUGUGAUCUUUCAACCCAAUUCAAGUAUAUAUUGAAAAUAUAAUGCUAGUAUCUGAUGGAAACUGAGGUUUUCUCAUCUCAAUAACUGGCUUUUAGGGGGGAGUUUUCCAUCUUACCUGAGUGUUGGGCACAGAGUUUCCCACCUUACCCGAGUGUUGCAUGCCUCAAUCUCAUAUUGAGUAAUACAAGAUACUUUAUAUGGUAUUUAAGUGGAUUGUUUUCCUCUAUUCAAUAGCUAGCUUUUGAAAGAGGGUUUCCCCAUCUCAUUUUUGUAAUGAUCAGUAUCGAACAAGUUAUGGUCUGCUGACACAUGCAACAAAAUUGUUGUCAUUAUUUAUGAGAAAUAAAAGUUUCCCUUUUGAUUUUAGUUGUCUUUUUAAGAAAAUAAGGUGAAAGGAUCUUUCAGCAACCAUUGCCUGUAUGAUUUACAGUUACAUAAGAGCAUAGAGUGACUACCAUAGCAUACAUCAUAAUUAAUUCUUGAAGUUUCCUGAACUCUGCAUUGCGUGUAUUAACAUGGCAUGCAUUUUUGUACAAAAGAUAGUGAAUUUGUCUUUGGUUGUCAGCAUAUGACAAUAAACAUGGAAAAGUAAUUAGUUUAGUAGACACAUUUUGUUCCAUACUCAAAGAAAGUAUAUACUACAGAGUAUGUAAAAAUUUUUUUUUAAAAAAAGGACACUUAAAUGUGUAAAUCCUGUGGUAAUUUUUUUAAAUUGACCGGACUUUAUGCAGCUAAAUUAUUGCAGUGAUCCAAGUUUACCUUGAUGCAAAAUAUGCUUCAGACUUUGUGAAAUCGGUAUAACAGACCUGGAAGUGUUAUUCGGAUCAUCCCGUCCUAGGUCUUGGAAUAUGGUUGCUAUGUUAUCUGUAUGGAACUGGUGUUGGGUAGGGCUAAAACGGUCGACUGUUUUGUGGAGUAUCUAGGCUUUAGGUUUGGAUCCGAGUUUGGUCUUUGUGGUCCAUGUGGUUGAGCUAUUUAUUUGUGUCUGUUUGCUAUCAUGUACUGAAACAUUGUCUAGGCAGUGAAGUUUCCUUUCGUUUGGCCAAGAGAAAUUGCAUCAGCAGAUUCAGUUUUCAGGCAAUUGCAAUGGUGGCAUAUAGCCGAGACAAAAAGAUCCCAAAGAAGAUUUCAUCUAGGCGGUACUUUUUUAUAACGACUUGCUCGCAUUGUGCAAGUACCCACAAUCGUGGUCUUUUAAUGGAGAUAACGACGUGGGAUUGUGAAACUCAAAAUAAGGCUAAAACAGUGCGUCCGUGCACGAAGGAACCACGUGUUAAUUGGUAUGACGUUCUGAGUCUCCUAUAAAAUAAGCAGUCUUGUAUUGUACUGUGUUGCACACUUUUCUUCUUACUGAGGGAAGCUGUAUCCAGAGACCAGAGUGAGCUAUUGCUGUUCCGCUCCCAAGUUCCAUUCACGUGUUGAUUCACGUGCCCAUGUCUUAUCUUUUUCUUAAAAAAUGUCAAAUCCAAACUUACAAAGCAUAUGCAGAAGUAGUCGUUAAGUUAGGAGCCGUUUGGGAAAAAAGAAGACAAAGGAAGGCAAAAGAAGGGAGCAACAUUGUGGAAUUGAGUGGGAGUUUGUGAUCAAGCCCUUCCAAAGCGUAAAGGCACUUUCUAAUUUUUACUGUCCCCGCUUGUCGAUAUCUUUGAUCCCUUGUCUUUGUGCGUCGCUAUCGGAAUUGUCGACGAUGACAUCUAUAAAUGUGAUGGUUCUUGAGAGAACAACAUCCUACCUAGUUAUUAUUUAAAACAAGAAAGGGCGCGCGCUGUG